This 1517-nucleotide long non-coding RNA is filed under the name Salvia miltiorrhiza (redroot sage). RNAcentral describes it as "long non-coding RNA (SMIL_LNC006758)". Lineage: Eukaryota; Viridiplantae; Streptophyta; Magnoliopsida; Lamiales; Lamiaceae. The record is from RNAcentral.
CCCAACUGUAAUUACCCAUUAUUCUUUAAUAAAUAAAAUCUAAUCUAAAUAAAUUAAUCACCCUUUUCCUUUUCUUCUACGCAAUAGUAUCACUCUCUCUCUCUCUCUCUCUCUCUCUCUCUGCGUUCUCUCCUUUUUAUCUCUACUGGCGCUCUCUCGCUCUCUCCCCCUCCGGCAGAUGUCGCCGGUUCUCGCCGCCUCCGGCGUGGCGAGGCCGGCUCCUCAUCUUCUCCUUCCUCUCUAUUCCCUAUUUUCUCCCCAAAUUCUAAAACCCCCAAAUUCUAGGGUUUUCUGCCUCCCCUUUCCCCUCUGAAAUUCGCCUCUCCGGUGAAUCCCGCCGCCACCACCGCCGUCUUCGUUCCAGGUAAUCUCUUUUCCUCCUUCUCUCACAAUCUAUCUCUCUCUGUCCUCUCUCUGAUCUCCCUCUCGAUCUCCUCCUCUGCCCUCUUGCUCGCGGCGGCCGCGGCAGCGCAUGCAGCGCCGAUUGUCGCCGCCGCCCUGCUCUCUUUAUCUCUUUGCUUCCCUCUCCCUCUCACGUCUCUUUAAGUCUCACUCUUCUCUAUCGGCUCUUGGUCGCGACGGCCGAUGCGAGCCACGACGGCGCAGCAGCGCUGGCGCUCGCCGCCGUUUCUGCUCCUCCUUCUCUGCCUCCCUAACUUCGCCCCUAUCUCCCUCUCUCGUUCGUCUCUCUUUGUUUCUCUCCCCGUUGGCAGCCACCGCGGACCGCCGUGGCGUGGGCAGCGCCGGCGGUCGCUGCCGCUAGUCGCGCCUCCGCUGCGGUGGCUCGCGGCUGCUGCUGCCGUCCCUUCCCCUGUUCUAAUUCUUCUUCUUCUUCUUCUCCUUUUUCUCUAUUUUUCAAUACUUCAAAUUAAUAAAUAAGUUUCUAAUUAUUUCCUAUUUCAGGAAUCCAUGAUUCGAGAUGGUUCCAGCGAGGCAGCCCGUCUUCUGAUACUGUAGCUUAGCUCAAGCUUCUACCUUUCUUCUUUCUCUUUUGUUACACUAUCUGCUUUUCUUUUAUUGAUUGAUGUAAAACUGAAGUAUAGUGGUGAUGAGGAAGCAUACUGUUUUUGUAGAAAUUAUAGUUAGGGACUGUUGCAACUAUGCUUGUAUCUACUUGGCGUAGCUAUUAUUCGUGGCUACUGAUCUUGGUCUACAUAAUGAAAUUACUGUAUUGUAAAAAGGAAUACUACCUGCUUGGUGAAGUGGAAGAUUGUUGGAUAUGAGUGAUUGUUGAUAAUAGUUGGUGUCUGUGCAGAGUGGGGAAAAAUGGUUUUGGUAGGGAUUGAGGGGAAGAUAUACUAGUUUACGUCGGUUUACACAGCAGCUGAGUAUAAAGUUUCAAGCAACGUGUUCUCCCAAUAGCUAGUUUGCUUAAAUAAAUCUAAUCGACAGCUUAGAGCUAAUUGAUUCACAGCUAACACAAAGAAUUGGGCUUGGGCCUCUUUAAAAAAAUCAUUGGCCCAAAUGAUAAAGUAUUGGGCUUAUUUAAACUUAGCCCAUAUAUACAUGUAUUGGAC